GACGAACGCUGGCGGCGCGCCUAACACAUGCAAGUCGAACGAGCGAGAGAGAGCUUGCUUUCUCGAGCGAGUGGCGAACGGGUGAGUAACGCGUGAGGAACCUGCCUCAAAGAGGGGGACAACAGUUGGAAACGACUGCUAAUACCGCAUAAGCCCACGGUGCCGCAUGGCACAGAGGGAAAAGGAGCAAUCCGCUUUGAGAUGGCCUCGCGUCCGAUUAGCUAGUUGGUGAGGUAAUGGCCCACCAAGGCGACGAUCGGUAGCCGGACUGAGAGGUUGAACGGCCACAUUGGGACUGAGACACGGCCCAGACUCCUACGGGAGGCAGCAGUGGGGAAUAUUGCACAAUGGGGGAAACCCUGAUGCAGCGACGCCGCGUGGAGGAAGAAGGUCUUCGGAUUGUAAACUCCUGUUGUUGGGGAAGAUAAUGACGGUACCCAACAAGGAAGUGACGGCUAACUA
RNAcentral lists this ribosomal RNA (462 nucleotides) under uncultured bacterium. Its description in RNAcentral is "bacterial SSU rRNA". It matches the Rfam family "Bacterial small subunit ribosomal RNA", at positions 28 to 503 of the family's 1533-position model. The record is from RNAcentral.